CUGCUAUGCUUUUUAUCAAUCAAAGAUAAAGAAAGGCUGUCUACGUGGUUUAUCUCCUCACAUUAGCCUCCAUGCUAAUGGUGGCCCAGCAUCGGUCCUUGUUUCCUCUGGCCUGGUCCUCCCUCCGCUGGGAAGCCCAGACAGCCAGACCUUCCUGUGGGAGGGGGAGCUCCAAGAGGUCCAGGGGAGGAUCGAAACAUUCACAGCACAGCUGAGAGAUGCUUUGGCCAGGAGGGCCGAGAUAAAAACCUGCUUGGAGAACCAGAGGAUGAGCCAAACUACAGCUAUUGCAGCAAAACUGAAGAGAGAGAAUGUCGGCCAUUUGCAAAGCCUGAUGAUAGAGAGAACCAACCCAGAGAAAGAUAAAACCAAUGAGGAGAGAGAACGGAGUGCCCAGUCAAACCUCAGUAGCUGUCUUGACAAAGACAAAUAUGGUACAAACAGUGAGAAUUCCAAUGGGAGACAAACAGGCAGACAGGACACAGACAGGGACAGACUAUUAGACCAAUCACAAAUUGAGAGAGACAAAAACGACCAAUCCAAAAGUAUUGACAGAAAGCAGAGCAGCCAAUCACAGGUGUCCCACAUUCUGCAGACAGGGAGGAGCAGCCAAUCAGCAGCUCUGAACAUAAGAGAGAUCAAACCACAAACAUCGGCCAGUUUAGACAGGGAGGCAACUAACCAAUCAGAAGCUGUCAAUAUAGCGCAGACAGAUAGUACUGUCCAAUCACGUAAUCUCUUCACCAGCAUGGAGAGAGGAAGAGUGAGUCAAUCAGGUGCAGUGAGAGACCAGGAGAGAGGGAGAACUGUCCAAGUACGAACAGGGGCUAGUCUGGACAGACCAACAACUAGCCAAUCGGCUACUAUGACUAAUCUGGAGAGAGGCCGAUCUGGCCAAUCCAGUGCCAGCACUCAGACUUCCGUUAGGGAACCUCCUGUUCCCAAUGACACCGAGAAGAGUUUGUGUUAGUCUUUUGAUGGAUUCUUUAAUAGAAAACUAUGGACAAAUCCAAUGACUUCAACAAGUGCACAUGAUUUUUAAGUUAGCAAACUUGAAACUAUUAGACAAAAAAGGUUUGUUUAACAGUGACAGACAGCAAUACAGCCCUGAUCCAUUUGCUUCUGAUGUCAAUGGUUGCUGUCUGUUUAAAAUGAAUGAUCAGAACUUUAACCACCAAUGUUUGUCUCCACAUAAAAGGUGUUGUCUUGUUAUUUUUCAGUUUCCCCUGGAGUCUAAACACUGGGAACUACAUUUAAUCCAACAGAAGCAAACGUAUUGAAAGAGGCAGUGACCCACAUGAGAUUGCUCAAUAAAAUCACUGCAAAUUGUUUUCCGUUUUGCUAUGGUUGACAACUAAUGAAUACACCACAGAUGUGUCGUCGGUUUUGAGCGUGUCACUUGAUGCACACAGGGGGGCUUGAACAUGUUCAAUUACGCCCCCCCCCCUCCCCCGAACUGGGUAAGGAUGGGGCUAUCCAAGGUUUUAUGUCUCCACUGUCAUUGUCACAACUAAUCCUUUUUAAGGACCUUGAGUUGCUCAGAUACUAUGCAGUUUAAUUGAAUUUACUUUCAAAAGGAUUUAAUAUCACAGUGUUUUUAAAUGUAGCUAUAACAUAUCUAUAGUUAGAGCUUGAAGUGGAUUGGAAUGGUUGGUUUUCUAUAACAGGAGCAGUCCGUCAGGUUAACUGAACAGCGGGAAGGUGAGGUGAUGUUUUUGGACUGAGGGAAAUGUUUGCAAACGUGUUGUUCUGGUGAUGGUGGGACGUGUGUUCAAUGUGCCAGGAUGCUGCCUAUAACAACAGUGAUCCGUAUCAUUCACACAUAACCUUGUUGUGUCGUUUGUUUAUCAUUUACAUAUUUUGAAAUAAAC
Esox lucius (northern pike) is the source of this 1871-nucleotide long non-coding RNA. NCBI's taxonomy places the organism in Eukaryota, Metazoa, Chordata, Actinopteri, Esociformes, Esocidae. The record is from Ensembl.